Molecule: signal recognition particle RNA, 298 nt
Filed under: Pediculus humanus corporis (human body louse)
Lineage: Eukaryota; Metazoa; Arthropoda; Insecta; Psocodea; Pediculidae
Description: Metazoan signal recognition particle RNA
Rfam family: Metazoan signal recognition particle RNA
About the family: The signal recognition particle (SRP) is a universally conserved ribonucleoprotein. It is involved in the co-translational targeting of proteins to membranes.
Source: Rfam by way of RNAcentral
GCUGGGAGUGGUGGUGUACUCCUGUAAUCCAACUACUAGGAGGCCUGGUAUAGAGGAUGUUUUGAGGGCGGGGGUCCUGGGGUUGGAUGCCUCACGUAGACUAGGCGUCCGCACUAAGAUCGGCAUCAACAUGGGUACCUUGGGGGAGCCCGAGGUAGCCAGGUUGGCUAAGGAGGGGCGAAUCGGGCCAGGGGGGAAACUCAGCAGCCAAAAGUCCCCGUGUUGGUCAGUAGUGGGAUAGCGCCCGGGAGUGGGAAUCCAGUUUCAGCCCGUCCAAUAAAAACAGACCUGUAUCUUU